AGCCAAGUCACGUGAUUUUCAUGUCACAUGACAACGCCCCAGCGCAGCUAAAGCUAACAAAAUGGCAGCGUUCUUACAGUGGAGAAAAUUUGUAUUCUUUGAUAAAGAUGUGGUGAAAGAUCCUGUAGACAAUGGGAAAAACUUUGUUCUUCCAAGCGGAAUAUCGACGUGUGACUCCGGCCGAGGACACAUCGUUCUUGGAGAUAUCCUUCAGCAGCAGCGUUAGCUAACUAAGCUAACGUCAAGCUAGUUCUGACAGAUGAUACUAGCUCAGUGAAAUGUUGAGAAAUGUUGUACCUUUUAUUGUUUCAAGGUUGGCAUGGGAAGUAGCAGCUACAUCGCUGUAAUGAGCGGUGUAGGAAACAGUAUAGUAGACUACGGGCUGUGUUUCGUUUUGCUGUUGUUGUGAACUGCACAUUAAUGAUAGUUGUGAAGAAAGACUACCUGAGUACAUGUUUACUACUUAAACUUGUUAUACAGUGUGGUCCGUGUUGAUCUGCAUCCUGCACACUUAUCCAACAUGAUAAACAGACUAGUCUAAAUACCUGCAGAGUAGCAUGAGUUCAGCUUUAGAAAACUUACCAACAUAAUGACUACUCAAAGAUACACAGAAAUAGUCUCUUGUAGGGCUGGGCGAUAUGGGAAAAAGUUUAUCAUGAUAUAUUUUUUUCAUAUCUGUCAAUAUCGAUAUAUAUCAUGAUAAAUAAAAUGAAAUGGAA
Non-coding RNA from Xyrichtys novacula (pearly razorfish), 719 nucleotides. NCBI's taxonomy places the organism in Eukaryota, Metazoa, Chordata, Actinopteri, Labriformes, Labridae. The record is from the annotation of a GenBank genome assembly.